ACGCUGGCGGCGGCUUACACAUGCAAGUCGAACGAAGCCUUCGGGCUUAGUGGCGGACGGGUGAGUAACGCGUGGGAACGUGCCCUUUGCUACGGAAUAGUCCCGGGAAACUGGGUUUAAUACCGUAUAUUCUCUGCGGAGGAAAGAUUUAUCGGCAAAGGAUCGGCCCGCGUUGGAUUAGGUAGUUGGUGGGGUAAUGGCCUACCAAGCCCGCGAUCCAUAGCUGGUUUGAGAGGAUGAUCAGCCACACUGGGACUGAGACACGGCCCAGACUCCUACGGGAGGCAGCAGUGGGGAAUCUUAGACAAUGGGGGAAACCCUGAUCUAGCCAUGCCGCGUGAGCGAUGAAGGCCUUAGGGUUGUAAAGCUCUUUCGCUGGGGAAGAUAAUGACGGUACCCAGUAAAGAAGCCCCGGCUAACUCCGUGCCAGCAGCCGCGGUAAUACGGAGGGGGCUAGCGUUGUUCGGAAUUACUGGGCGUAAAGCGCGCGUAGGCGGAUUGGAAAGUUGGGGGUGAAAUCCCGGGGCUCAACCCCGGAACUGCCUCCAAAACUAUCAGUCUGGAGUUCGAGAGAGGUGAGUGGAAUUGCGAGUGUAGAGGUGAAAUUCGUAGAUAUUCGCAGGAACACCCAGUGGCGAAGGCGGCUCACUGGCUCGAUACUGGACGCUGAGGUGCGAAAGUGUGGGGAGCAAACAGGAUUAGAUACCCUGGUAGUCCACACCGUAAACGAUGAAUGCCAGACGUCGGCAAGCAUGCUUGUCGGUGUCACACCUAACGGAUUAAGCAUUCCGCCUGGGGGAG
RNAcentral lists this ribosomal RNA (801 nucleotides) under uncultured bacterium. RNAcentral describes it as "bacterial SSU rRNA". It matches the Rfam family "Bacterial small subunit ribosomal RNA", at positions 33 to 881 of the family's 1533-position model. The record is from RNAcentral.